AUUGAACGCUGGCGGCAGGCCUAACACAUGCAAGUCGAGCGGAUGAAGGGAGCUUGCUCCUGGAUUCAGCGGCGGACGGGUGAGUAAUGCCUAGGAAUCUGCCUGGUAGUGGGGGAUAACGUCCGGAAACGGGCGCUAAUACCGCAUACGUCCUGAGGGAGAAAGUGGGGGAUCUUCGGACCUCACGCUAUCAGAUGAGCCUAGGUCGGAUUAGCUAGUUGGUGGGGUAAAGGCCUACCAAGGCGACGAUCCGUAACUGGUCUGAGAGGAUGAUCAGUCACACUGGAACUGAGACACGGUCAAGACGCCUACGGGAGGCAGCAGUGGGGAAUAUUGGACAAUGGGCGAAAGCCUGAUCCAGCCAUGCCGCGUGUGUGAAGAAGGUCUUCGGAUUGUAAAGCACUUUAAGUUGGGAGGAAGGGCAGUAAGUUAAUACCUUGCUGUUUUGACGUUACCAACAGAAUAAGCACCGGCUAACUUCGUG
RNAcentral lists this ribosomal RNA (484 nucleotides) under uncultured bacterium. RNAcentral describes it as "partial 16S ribosomal RNA". It matches the Rfam family "Bacterial small subunit ribosomal RNA", at positions 30 to 507 of the family's 1533-position model. The record is from RNAcentral.